CCGUAAGGACUGGUGGAGCGCUUAGAAGUGAGAAUGCCGGUAUGAGUAGCGAAAGAUGAGUGAGAAUCUCAUCCACCGAAUGCCUAAGGUUUCCUGAGGAAGGCUCGUCCGCUCAGGGUUAGUCGGGACCUAAGCCGAGGCUGAAAAGCGUAGGCGAUGGACAACAGGUUGAUAUUCCUGUACCACCUUUAAAUCGUUUGAGCAAUGGGGGGACGCAGGAGGAUAGGGUAAGCGUGCUGUUGGAUUAGCACGUCCAAGCAGUUAGGCUGGUAAUGAGGCAAAUCCCAUUACCACAUAAGCGGAGCUGUGACGGCGAGGGAAAUAUAGUACCGAAGUUCCUGAUUCCACACUGCCAAGAAAAGCCUCUAGCGAGAUUUAGGGUGCCGUACCGCAACCCGACACAGGUAGGCGAGGAGAGAAU
Molecule: ribosomal RNA, 421 nt
Filed under: Niallia circulans
Lineage: Bacteria; Bacillati; Bacillota; Bacilli; Caryophanales; Bacillaceae
Description: bacterial LSU rRNA
Rfam family: Bacterial large subunit ribosomal RNA
Source: RNAcentral